This 429-nucleotide ribosomal RNA is filed under the name Pseudomonadota bacterium. RNAcentral's name for it is "Proteobacteria bacterium partial 16S ribosomal RNA". It matches the Rfam family "Bacterial small subunit ribosomal RNA", at positions 355 to 776 of the family's 1533-position model. Lineage: Bacteria; Pseudomonadati; Pseudomonadota. The record is from RNAcentral.
UGGGGAAUAUUGGACAAUGGGCGAAAGCCUGAUCCAGCCAUGCCGCGUGUGUGAAGAAGGUCUUCGGAUUGUAAAGCACUUUAAGUUGGGAGGAAGGGCAGUAAGCGAAUACCUUGCUGUUUUGACGUUACCGACAGAAUAAGCACCGGCUAACUCUGUGCCAGCAGCCGCGGUAAUACAGAGGGUGCAAGCGUUAAUCGGAAUUACUGGGCGUAAAGCGCGCGUAGGUGGUUCGUUAAGUUGAAUGUGAAAGCCCCGGGCUCAACCUGGGAACUGCAUCCAGAACUGGCGAGCUAGAGUAGGGGAGAGGGUGGUGGAAUUUCCUGUGUAGAGGUGAAAUGCGUAGAUAUAGGAAGGAACACCAGUGGCGAAGGCGACCACCUGGGCUCAUACUGACACUGAGGUGCGAAAGCGUGGGGAGCAAACAGG